UACGUAGGGCGCAAGCGUUUGUCCGGAAUUAUUGGGCGUAAAGAGCUCGUAGGCGGUCUGUCGCGUCUGCCGUGAAAACCCGAGGCUUAACCUCGUGGCUUGCGGUGGAUACGGGCAGACUAGAGGUAGGUAGGGGAGAAUGGAAUUCCCGGUGUAGCGGUGAAAUGCGCAGAUAUCGGGAGGAACACCGGUGGCGAAGGCGGUUCUCUGGGCCUUACCUGACGCUGAGGAGCGAAAGCGUGGGGAGCGAACAGG
This 255-nucleotide ribosomal RNA is filed under the name uncultured bacterium. RNAcentral's name for it is "partial 16S ribosomal RNA". It matches the Rfam family "Bacterial small subunit ribosomal RNA", at positions 524 to 776 of the family's 1533-position model. The record is from RNAcentral.